GGGUCUGUAGCUCAAUUGGUAGAGUGCUCCCUUAGCAUGGGAGAGGUACCGGGAUCGAAUGCUGUGCACGAUUGGCCCGGCAGAUCCA
This 88-nucleotide transfer RNA is filed under the name Gracilariopsis chorda. Its description in RNAcentral is "tRNA-Ala". It matches the Rfam family "tRNA". Rfam says of the family: Transfer RNA (tRNA) molecules are approximately 80 nucleotides in length. Lineage: Eukaryota; Rhodophyta; Florideophyceae; Gracilariales; Gracilariaceae. The record is from RNAcentral.